CCUAGGGCGGCUGCAGUGGGGAAUAUUGGACAAUGGGCGAAAGCCUGAUCCAGCCAUGCCGCGUGUGUGAAGAAGGCCUUCGGGUUGUAAAGCACUUUCAGUGGGGAAGAAAGCCUUGGGGCUAAUACCCUCGAGGAAGGACAUCACCCACAGAAGAAGCACCGGCUAACUCCGUGCCAGCAGCCGCGGUAAUACGGAGGGUGCGAGCGUUAAUCGGAAUUACUGGGCGUAAAGCGCGCGUAGGCGGUCUGAUAAGCCGGUUGUGAAAGCCCCGGGCUCAACCUGGGAACGGCAUCCGGAACUGUCAGGCUAGAGUGCAGGAGAGGAAGGUAGAAUUCCCGGUGUAGCGGUGAAAUGCGUAGAGAUCGGGAGGAAUACCAGUGGCGAAGGCGGCCUUCUGGACUGACACUGACGCUGAGGUGCGAAAGCGUGGGUAGCAAACAGGAUUAGAUACCCGGGUAGUC
This 464-nucleotide ribosomal RNA is filed under the name Vreelandella stevensii. RNAcentral's name for it is "partial 16S ribosomal RNA". It matches the Rfam family "Bacterial small subunit ribosomal RNA", at positions 338 to 795 of the family's 1533-position model. The record is from RNAcentral. Lineage: Bacteria; Pseudomonadati; Pseudomonadota; Gammaproteobacteria; Oceanospirillales; Halomonadaceae.